UUCCAGACUCCUACGGGAGGCAGCAGUGGGGGAUAUUGCACAAUGGGGGAAACCCUGAUGCAGCGACGCCGCGUGGGCGAAGAAGUAUUUCGGUAUGUAAAGCCCUAUCAGCAGGGAAGAAGAAAUGACGGUACCUGAGUAAGAAGCACCGGCUAAAUACGUGCCAGCAGCCGCGGUAAUACGUAUGGUGCAAGCGUUAUCCGGAUUUACUGGGUGUAAAGGGAGCGUAGACGGCGGCGCAAGUCCGGAGUGAAAGCCCAGGGCCCAACCGUGGGACUGCUCUGGAAACUGUGCGGCUUGAGUGCGGGAGGGGCAGGCGGAAUUCCUAGUGUAGCGGUGAAAUGCGUAGAUAUUAGGAGGAACACCGGCGGCGAAGGCGGCCUGCUGGACCGUAACUGACGUUGAGGCUCGAAAGCGUGGGGAGCAAACAGGAUUAGAUACCCGUGUACA
This 450-nucleotide ribosomal RNA is filed under the name uncultured bacterium. RNAcentral's name for it is "partial 16S ribosomal RNA". It matches the Rfam family "Bacterial small subunit ribosomal RNA", at positions 329 to 794 of the family's 1533-position model. The record is from RNAcentral.